UAGUCAUAUGCUUGUCUCAAAGAUUAAGCCAUGCAUGUCUAAGUAUAAGCACUUUAUACUGUGAAACUGCGAAUGGCUCAUUAAAUCAGUUAUCGUUUAUUUGAUAGUACCUUACUACAUGGAUACCUGUGGUAAUUCUAGAGCUAAUACAUGCUGAAAACCUCGACUUCGGAAGGGGUGUAUGUAUUAGAUAAAAAACCAAUGCCCUUCGGGGCUCCUUGGUGAAUCAUAAUAACUUAACGAAUCGCAUGGCCUUGCGCCGGCGAUGGUUCAUUCAAAUUUCUGCCCUAUCAACUUUCGAUGGUAGGAUAGUGGCCUACCAUGGUGGCAACGGGUAACGGGGAAUUAGGGUUCGAUUCCGGAGAGAAAGCCUGAGAAACGGCUACCACAUCCAAGGAAGGCAGCAGGCGCGCAAAUUACCCAAUCCCGACACGGGGAGGUAGUGACAAUAAAUACUGAUACGGGGCUCUUUUGGGUCUCGUAAUNGAAGAGUA
This 494-nucleotide ribosomal RNA is filed under the name Aspergillus niger. Its description in RNAcentral is "SSU rRNA". It matches the Rfam family "Eukaryotic small subunit ribosomal RNA", at positions 21 to 518 of the family's 1831-position model. Lineage: Eukaryota; Fungi; Ascomycota; Eurotiomycetes; Eurotiales; Aspergillaceae. The record is from RNAcentral.